UAUUUUCCCAUAAGCUCUGAGCCUUGAGUUUGAUAACUUAACUGCAGAUUGGCUCUUCUUCUUCUUGCAUUCUUUGACAAUUUACUCGAAUCCUCAUCUGACUGAAGCUACCCUUUCAGCAUUUGAUGCUUACAAUAAUCUUUAUGCCUCUUUUAUAUAUCAGACCUUCCUUCUUCAGGAAGCUCCUUUGACUUCAGUUUUAGCUGGUGCCUCUGAUUGUUGUGUACUCUUCAUUCCUUCUCCCUACAAGGAGCAAGCUUCUUCAAUGAAACAUUGCCUCUUCAGCUCUCUUCAGCAAUGAUAAUUUCCAUUUCCUUUUACACUUCCAUCCUUAGAAGAUAUCGUUUCUUCAUUCUGUGCCUCGGGGAUGCAAUCAGACUCAGACUCCUCCUCCUCGUCAUCAUUAUUGUCAUCUUUGCCUACAUCAUCUACCUUUGUCUUAAGCUUCUAUCUCUAGCUGCUAAGAAUCCAUCCUUGGACUCUAAUUCUUCCCAGCCAAUCUGCAGUCUGAGCAAUUCAUCUUCUUUCUUGAAGUAUGGCUUUUCAAUUUCUCCACCUUCAUCUCCAUCACGGCCAGAGUCAGGGUGCACAUCUUCUGCAUUGUAAUACUUCUCAUCGAGAGCUUGCUUCAUCAUCCUAUUGUAUUCCUGGGAUCAAAGUCGUCAACAAGGUCAGCUCCAUCAAUUUCUCCACCUUCUUCAUCUCCAUGACUGCCAAAGUUAGGGUCCACAUCUUCUGCAUUGUGAUACUUCUCAUUGAAAACUUGCUUCAUCGCCGUAUCAUAUUCCUCAGGAUCAAAGUCAUCAUCAAGAUCAACUCCUUCCAAUUGGCAGCCCUUGUCUUCACCUAUGCCAGUGAUCUGCUUAGACUUUGAGCUUUUGCUUCAUCUCCUCUUUUUUUUUUUUUUAAAAUGCUUCAAGUGCUUCAACUCCUCGAAUGACCCAAUAGCCUGUUGCCUGGACUCUUCAGGUACCUGAAAUUGGUUUUAUAAUCCUUGCAUCUCAAUCUCUUCCUUAUCCCUCGACAACCCAUCCAACUCUUCUCAUUGACAUGUCCUUUGUUCUUGUAAUCCUUGCCAACCCACAUCUUAUACGAAAAGAACUAUUUCAGAAACAUCUCAUUCUUACCCAAACCCUCUCUCCUGCCAAAGUAUACGUCCAGCUUCUGCUGAAAUUCUGCAGCAUUGCCACCUUCAACUGGCGCACCAUCGUCUCUCUUCUUAUCUUUAUGAAACAUCACGGUCGUCACCAUCAGCCUCUGCAGCCUCUGCAGCUUCCAGAAAAUGCCCUUCUUAUCUCCUCUUGUGCCUCACUGCAGCUCUUCUUCUUAGUAGCUUCUGUUUGCUCCUCAUUAAAAUCAGGUCCCUCCUCAAUCAGGUUCUUAGCCACCUCGUCUUUCAAGUAAAUCUUAUGUCUUCUCUCAUUCAACUCCUCCUCUUCCUCUUCAUCGCUAUUUCACACUAGAAAAGAUAGGCAUUUUUCUUUUUAAGACUUGGGUCUUGGCUUUGCACCUUAAUUAGUGCACUAUAGAACUCAGAGUCCUUCUACUAGCCUUACUCACAUGAACAUCAUCAUCCAAAGAGGAUGAGUACUCAGAGGUGGAUUUAUCACCUGAUUCAGUUGAACUUGAGUUUUAUCGAUUUCAUCUUAUUGUCAUUUUGGGAAUAUACCAUAGCAAUAUGGUAAAAUUUGCUCAGUAUCACCAGUAGUGACCACCUAUUUUGUACUGUGAAGCUUUCCGCUCAGUGUCACCAGAAUUUUUAUGUGGCUUACUUCUUGUGCAUGGUUGAACCGGAGGUUUUUCUUUUUUUUCUUGUUUUAUUUCCCAAGUGGAGGAGCACGUUGCCAACAUGUGAGGAGAACUUUGGUGCAGAAAGUCCUGCUAUCUCACCUUAACUGAGGCCCAAUAACUAUGAUCCCCACAUUGAUCAUUUCCUGUUUUGAGCCCAAGCUGCGUAUUGCAGACAGCUUUCAGUAAUCACUUUGGACAAAGUUAGAGAGGUGCUUAAGCUUCACCAGGAAAUGAAAGAUCUUGCUAAGCUACUGAUCGCAGAGCAGUCACUUAUCAUGUUUGGCAGGGGAUAGAAUUAUGCUACAGCUAUGUAAGGUUCUUUAAAAGUAAAUGAAGUGGCAUUGAUGCACAGUAAAGGAAUACUUGCCAGUGAAAUGAAACAUGGUCCUCUGGCUCAAGUGGUUGAGAGUCUUCUCAGUGUUUGCUACUCAUGAUGCUUGAUUCAGGUUAGCUUUUGUCGUACGGGUUUUGAUCGUGUCCAUGAAAUCUCUAUUUGUUCUAAAGCUGAAGGUGUCAGUGUUAACUGCAAUCAACAAUCAGUUGUUCAGCAACUACAUGCCCACAAAGGAUGCCCAAUUGUAUCGUACUCAUGGUACCUUAAUAUUGUUUCAUGAUUGAAAUAACGAUGAUGACUUCAACUUAGUUUCAUCUGGGAUGCUAUGCAA
This is a long non-coding RNA of Eucalyptus grandis, 2456 nucleotides long. RefSeq lists it as uncharacterized. The record is from RefSeq and is a predicted model, not a curated record. Lineage: Eukaryota; Viridiplantae; Streptophyta; Magnoliopsida; Myrtales; Myrtaceae. The transcript has 2 exons.